Molecule: ribosomal RNA, 40 nt
Filed under: Schizangiella sp. ARSEF 2237
Lineage: Eukaryota; Fungi; Basidiobolomycota; Basidiobolomycetes; Basidiobolales; Basidiobolaceae
Description: partial 28S ribosomal RNA
Source: RNAcentral
UAUGGAUUAUUAUUUUUUUCGGUAAAAUAUUGUGAUAACU